Molecule: ribosomal RNA, 724 nt
Filed under: uncultured bacterium
Lineage: Bacteria
Description: bacterial SSU rRNA
Rfam family: Bacterial small subunit ribosomal RNA
Source: RNAcentral
AGAGUUUGAUCAUGGCUCAGGACGAACGCUGGCGGCGUGCUUAAUGCAUGCAAGUCGAGCGACGCACAGGUGAGGGUAACCAAGCCUGUGACGGAGCGGCGAACGGGUGAGUAACACGUGAGCAACCUGCCCCGAAGACCGGGAUAGCCCAGGGAAACUUGGAUUAAUACCGGAUACCCUCGCGGAACCGCAUGAUUCUGCGAGGAAAGCUUUUGCGCUUUGGGAUGGGCUCGCGGCCUAUCAGCUUGUUGGCGGGGUAACGGCCUACCAAGCCAACGAUCAGUAGCUGGCGUGAGAGCGCGACCAGCCACACUGGCACUGAGACACGGGCCAGACUCCUACGGGAGGCAGCAGUAGGGAAUAUUGGACAAUGGGCGAAAGCCUGAUCCAGCCAUGCCGCGUGGAGGAUGAAUGCCCUCUGGGUUGUAAACUCCUUUUAUCUGGGAAGAACCACCCCGACUUGUCGGGGCCUGACGGUACCAGAGGAAUAAGCACCGGCUAACUCCGUGCCAGCAGCCGCGGUAAUACGGAGGGUGCAAGCGUUAUCCGGAUUUACUGGGUUUAAAGGGUGUGUAGGCGGAUUGGUAAGUCAGUGGUGAAAGCCCCGAGCUUAACUUGGGAACUGCCAUUGAUACUGCCAGUCUUGAAUACGGUUGAGGUAGGCGGAAUAUAGCAUGUAGCGGUGAAAUGCUUAGAUAUGCUAUAGAACACCGAUUGCGAAGGC